This 672-nucleotide long non-coding RNA is filed under the name Homo sapiens (human). Its description in RNAcentral is "HSALNT0213170". Lineage: Eukaryota; Metazoa; Chordata; Mammalia; Primates; Hominidae. The record is from RNAcentral.
AAUAUGUGAAAAUCAAGGCAAAUCAAUGAUUCUGUGCCCUCACCUAUGUUUAUACCUGUGGUCUGACAACUACUUUCUGUUACUACUCAACCCCCUCUAAGUACUAAAUUACCUUUUACACCUGAGCCUCUCAAGCCUCCGUACUAGUUCUGAAAAUCAAUGUCACUGGUUACCUGAAAAUGCUUCUGAAUAAUUACUCUUUCAACACACUGUACUAUUACAUAUGACAUAGCUCAGUCUAUGAUAGCUGACUAUAAAACGUGACAACUAUCUUCAAGCCAGCUGGAUAUUUUGAAUUUCAAAAAGAACACAUGAGAACAAGUCAAAAAGUAACGAUGAUGGUGACUACUGAUUUUUGAGCUUUUACUAUGUGCUCAGUACUGUGCCAAGUAGCUUACAUGCAUUAUCUCAAUGUUUAAUAGGUGUGUUUUGUUAUUUUCAUUUUAUAGGCAGGAAACUGAAGCUCAGAUAGGUUAAAAUAUUUCAGCCAGGCACGGUCAUACAGCUUCUAGAAGAAUCUGAACUUGUAUUAGGGUCUGUGAAUACUAAAAAUGAGAAAUCAUUCUCCUUCUAUGGCUUAGCAAAACUUAUCUCAGCUGAGAAUCUGUUGCUUUUAUAAUCCUAGUAAUUAAGCCAGGCUCUAGACAUCUUUACCAAAAUAUCUGCAAUUUG